RNAcentral lists this ribosomal RNA (492 nucleotides) under uncultured bacterium. Its description in RNAcentral is "partial 16S ribosomal RNA". It matches the Rfam family "Bacterial small subunit ribosomal RNA", at positions 29 to 507 of the family's 1533-position model. The record is from RNAcentral.
AGUGAACGCUGGCGGUAGGCCUAACACAUGCAAGUCGAACGGCAGCACAGUAAGAGCUUGCUCUUACGGGUGGCGAGUGGCGGACGGGUGAGGAAUACAUCGGAAUCUACUUUUUCGGGGGGGAUAACGUAGGGAAACUUACGCUAAUACCGCAUACGACCUACGGGUGAAAGCAGGGGAUCUUCGGACCUUGCGCGAUUGAAUGAGCCGAUGUCGGAUUAGCUAGUUGGCGGGGUAAAGGCCCACCAAGGCGACGAUCCGUAGCUGGUCUGAGAGGAUGACCAGCCACACUGGAACUGAGACACGGUCCAGACUCCUACGGGAGGCAGCAGUGGGGAAUAUUGGACAAUGGGCGCAAGCCUGAUCCAGCCAUACCGCGUGGGUGAAGAAGGCCUUCGGGUUGUAAAGCCCUUUUGUCGGGAAAGAAAAGCAGCAGGUUAAUACCCCGCUGUUUUGACGUUACCCAAAGAAUAAGCACCGGCUAACUUCGUG